This 497-nucleotide ribosomal RNA is filed under the name uncultured bacterium. Its description in RNAcentral is "partial 16S ribosomal RNA". It matches the Rfam family "Bacterial small subunit ribosomal RNA", at positions 28 to 507 of the family's 1533-position model. The record is from RNAcentral.
GAUGAACGCUGGCGGCGUGCCUAAUACAUGCAAGUCGAGCGAACGGACGAGAAGCUUGCUUCUCUGAUGUUAGCGGCGGACGGGUGUGUAACACGUGGAUAACCUACCUAUAAGACUGGGAUAACUUCGGGAAACCGGAGCUAAUACCGGAUAAUAUUUUGAACCGCAUGGUUCAAAAGUGAAAGACGGUCUUGCUGUCACUUAUAGAUGGAUCCGCGCUGCAUUAGCUAGUUGGUAAGGUAACGGCUUACCAAGGCAACGAUGCAUAGCCGACCUGAGAGGGUGAUCGCCCACACUGGAACUGAGACAGGGACCAGAGGCCUACGAGAGGCAGCAGUCGGGAAUCGGCGGCAGUGGGCGGAAGCAUGACGGAGCAACGCCGAGUGAGUGAUGAAGGUCCUCGGAUCGUGAAACUCUGUUAUUAGGGAAGAACAUAUGUGUAAGUAACUGUGCACAGCUUGACGGUACCUAAUCAGAAAGCCACGGCUAACUACGUG